GUAAUUAUUACAUUGUUACUGACGCUGACUGCAAUUACAAGAGGUUUUUAUUUUGUCCUAUUGGCAGGCAAGCCCACCAAGGAAACAAGUAGUACGCAAAAGACAUGGGUAGAAUCAGAAAGGACUGAGUCAGUGAACCAAGCCGAAGCCCAGAGCGCUGGCAUCAACCCCCUGAUGAAAGGGUAAUGAUCCUUCCGCAGGUUCACCUACGGAAA
RNAcentral lists this unclassified non-coding RNA (215 nucleotides) under uncultured fungus. RNAcentral's name for it is "sequence contains ITS1". The record is from RNAcentral. Lineage: Eukaryota; Fungi.